UCCGCCAGGGUACUACAAGCGCUAGCUUAAAACCCAAAGGACUUGACGGUGUCUCAGACCCACCUAGAGGAGCCUGUUCUAGAACCGAUAAUCCCCGUUAAACCUCACCACCCCUUGUCCCUUCCGCCUAUAUACCGCCGUCGCAAGCUUACCCUGUGAAGGUUUAUCAGUAAGCAAAAUGGGAAUGUCCCAGAACGUCAGGUCGAGGUGUAGCUUACGAGGUGGGAAGAAAUGGGCUACAUUUUCUAAUAGCAGAAUAUUACGAAUGGUGUCAUGAAACCUGACACUUCAAGGUGGAUUUAGAAGUAAAAN
This 312-nucleotide ribosomal RNA is filed under the name Pyrrhulina sp. RNAcentral's name for it is "partial small subunit ribosomal RNA". It matches the Rfam family "Bacterial small subunit ribosomal RNA", at positions 868 to 1344 of the family's 1533-position model. Lineage: Eukaryota; Metazoa; Chordata; Actinopteri; Characiformes; Lebiasinidae. The record is from RNAcentral.